This 440-nucleotide ribosomal RNA is filed under the name uncultured bacterium. RNAcentral describes it as "partial 16S ribosomal RNA". It matches the Rfam family "Bacterial small subunit ribosomal RNA", at positions 338 to 795 of the family's 1533-position model. The record is from RNAcentral.
CCUACGGGAGGCAGCAGUAGGGAAUAUUGCUCAAUGGGGGAAACCCUGAAGCAGCAACGCCGCGUGGAGGAUGAAGGUUUUCGGAUUGUAAACUCCUUUUGUCAGAGAAGAUAAUGACGGUAUCUAACGAAUAAGCACCGGCUAACUCCGUGCCAGCAGCCGCGGUAAUACGGAGGGUGCAAGCGUUACCCGGAAUCACUGGGGGUAAAGAGCGCGUAGGCGGGGUAGCAAGUCAGAAGUGAAAUGCUGUGGCUUAACCAUAGAACUGCAUUUGAAACUGUAAUUCUAGAGUAUAGGAGAGGUAAGUGGAAUUCUUGGUGUAGGGGUAAAAUCCGUAGAGAUCAGGAGGAAUACUCGUGGCGAAGGCGACCUGCUAGAACGUAACUGACGCUGAUGCGCGAAAGCGUGGGGAGCAAACAGGAUUAGAUACCCGAGUAGUC